RNAcentral lists this transfer RNA (63 nucleotides) under Aquarius elongatus. Its description in RNAcentral is "tRNA-His". The record is from RNAcentral. Lineage: Eukaryota; Metazoa; Arthropoda; Insecta; Hemiptera; Gerridae.
GUUUGAGUAGUUUAAUUAGAAUAAUAAUUUGUGGUGUUAUAGGUAUAUUUUGUAUCUCAAACC